AUUGACGAGGAGAGAGAGAAGCGGGGACCACCAUUGAUGCAUCGUGAGCGCAGGAGAGAGAGAUGCAAGAAGAGAGAAAAUAGAGCUGGGCCACUGCGAGGGAGUCCUGGAUCACCAUCGAUCUGAGUCAAGCACGCGGCCAGAAAGAUCCCCGACGAGAAUAACUGAAUGUGAGGACCUGGGAUUUGUUCAUCAGCGAUUGCCGCUGCUGUGUGUCCGCCCCUCAUCGAGGCCUCCUCUAACCGUCGCUUAAUCACAGGUAAAAAGUCCCUAAAUGCAUUCGCGACACCUUAAUCUUCGUGUUCCCGUCGGUAAUUGGAUCUGCGUGAGCCUGCGUACUAGUUUGGUAUGUCGCCGUGGAGUGCCGCGCCGCCGGGUGUGUCGUGCGGGCCACUACUGCUGGGGGCUGAGAAGGAAGACGAUGGGAGAAACGUCGAUUUCUGGUGGAGGGCUCAGAUUGAACGCUGCGUACACCCCUUCGCUGGUUUGAUCUGAGCGGUUGGUUCCGAUCGGACGGACCUGGUGUGAUCACGGUUAUUUAAAAUAUAGGCCGUUGAUCUGGCCAGGGACGGAUACGAUUAGACUGGGCGCUUACCUCUUCGUUGGUUGAGUAUGUACUGUUGAUCUAUAAUCUAACGGUUGUGAUGCGCGCGGGGUUAGGCAGCCGAGCCAGCUUUACGUAAGAGCCCUCGAGAUUUAAGGUAAUAAACCCGCCGUCCAUUUUUUUAGUAUAAAGAAAGUAAAAUUAAAUGAAGACUUUGCGUUUUAGCCCAUGGGGUUUGUUUUUAGGCACAAAAUUGAUACAAAUAUGCACAAAAGCUAAGAAAAUCCAUAUCUUGCUCAUGUUAACUCCAUUUUAGUCCGUUUAAGUUGCGUUAGCUUCGUAAUAAAAUUAUCUACACUUUGGUAACCUUAUUUUAUCAUGAAACAUGUUUGUAAAUAAUUAAUUUGUUUACCCUAUGUUCAUUGGAUUAACUUCUUUAUUUAAAAUUAAAGUAAAAUUUUCGCUUCCUAGUUGUAAUUUGACUUAAAUAUGUUUUCUAAUCAAGUUAUAACUUGGGUUAAAAUUAAAUUAAUGGUUUCUUAGGAAUAUAUUUCUCACGUGAUUUAUAAUAAUCAACCUAGAACCUAGUUUUCCUGUUUAAUCACAUAAACCUUCGGAAAAUCAUAACUUUAUAACCGUAGCUCCUAAUUUAGCAAUUCUCGAGCCCGCGAUCUCAUAGCUUCGCGUAGAUUAUUAUUACACAGUUUAUUCUUAUAUUUGGUGUGAUGUUAAUUUUGUCUAUACCAUGUUUGUUUGUAUUGCUACGACUAGCGUGAGGUCACGAGUCACCUGAAGAUCAUCCUGGUACCUGGAAUCUCAAGUCCCAGGCAAGUUGUGCCCUUGAUCACUUCUUUUACCCACUCAUAUUCUAAUUAAUCAUAAUGAUCUGCAUAGGUUAAUUUGAUGGGACCUAAUAGGUUACCCUAGUUUGUCUAUCUUUAUGCCUUGUUUACCACUAAACUUUCUGGGUAGUACUUGCUAGUGCUAUAUGUGGAUUUGGGCAUUGAGAUACAUAUUAUUCAUACUUUUGUUAUCAGUUGCUAUUUACUGUUCAUGAUAAGAUCAUUCUGUUAAUUGGAACAUGGAGAACCACCCGGGAAAACAGUGCUACCACAAGGGUUUAAUGGGACGCCCUUGGCCGAUUAAUUAGGAAAGCUAGUGGAAGACUACCUUACCCGAAAGGGGCAAGGGCAGUAGGGGAGUGGUCAGUGUAGGGAGGCCCUCGGGAGGAUUUUGCUGCGAUGGCGGUCCUGCAAGGGAUUCCUGCAUUGGAGCUUCCUAUAAACUGUAGCGGGUUUUCUGAAGCUAGUGGAACUUUGUAAAGGCCUCGUAGUGUUACCCUGCCUCGCCUCCUCGAUAGAGGUGUAUGGGAAGUCGCGAUCCCUUGGCAGAUGGGUAACAUGACUUGUGGGUAAAGAUGCGCAACCUCUACAGAGUGUAAAACUGGUAUACUAGCCGUGCUCACGGUCAUGAGCAGCUCGGACACUCACAUGAUUAAAUUAUGAAACUUAAACUCAAUUUGUCAUAUGCAUUGCAUCGCAGGUGAGGUUGUUACUUUUGUUCUGCUACUUAAUUGGGUUGGUAUUUACUUAUACUUAGUAAUUGCUAAUAAAAUUUUGACCAACAUUAAAAGCAAUGCUCAGCUUCAACCAUCCUCUUUGGUAAGCCUUACACUUCACGUGAGCUCCCACCUUUGGCGAGUUCAUGCACAUUAUUCCCCACAACUUGUUGAGCUAUGAACGUAUGUGAGCUCACUCUUGCUGUCUCACACCCCCCCACAGGUCAAGAACAGGUACCGCAGGAUGAGGCACAUGGAGGAUGCUGUGAUGAGUUCGUGAGAGAGAUCUAGGCCGUCGUCUCCCAGUCAACUUUGGGUUGCUGGACCGUUG
RNAcentral lists this long non-coding RNA (2433 nucleotides) under Zea mays. RNAcentral describes it as "long non-coding RNA (ZMAY_LNC005622)". Lineage: Eukaryota; Viridiplantae; Streptophyta; Magnoliopsida; Poales; Poaceae. The record is from RNAcentral.